RNAcentral lists this ribosomal RNA (496 nucleotides) under uncultured bacterium. RNAcentral's name for it is "partial 16S ribosomal RNA". It matches the Rfam family "Bacterial small subunit ribosomal RNA", at positions 29 to 507 of the family's 1533-position model. The record is from RNAcentral.
AUGCACGCUGGCGGCGUGCCUAAUACAUUCAAGUCGCGCGAACAGACGAGGAGCUUGCUCCUCUGACGUUAGCGGCGGACGGGUGAGUAACACGUGGAUAACCUACCUAUAAGACUGGGAUAACUUCGGGAAACCGGAGCUAAUACCGGAUAAUAUAUUGAACCGCAUGGUUCAAUAGUGAAAGACGGUUUUGCUGUCACUUAUAGAUGGAUCCGCGCCGCAUUAGCUAGUUGGUAAGGUAACGGCUUACCAAGGCAACGAUGCGUAGCCGACCUGAGAGGGUGAUCGGCCACACUGGAACUGAGACACGGUCCAGACUCCUACGGGAGGCAGCAGUAGGGAAUCUUCCGCAAUGGGCGAAAGCCUGACGGAGCAACGCCGCGUGAGUGAUGAAGGUCUUCGGAUCGUAAAACUCUGUUAUUAGGGAAGAACAAAUGUGUAAGUAACUAUGCACGUCUUGACGGUACCUAAUCAGAAAGCCACGGCUAACUACGUG